AGUUUGUCAUGCACUGUAAAAAAUGAUUCCGCAUUUUAGUUUUCUCAACAUAAUUUUGUAAGUUGACACAACUUGCAGUUUUUUAAUUUGUUGAUAUAACUGAACAUGCUAAGUUUUCACUGUCUCAACUAGUCUCAAGUUGACUGAACUAAAGAAUGUGUCGACUCAACUUAAAAAUGUUUGCUGAACCAGUAAGGUUAGCAUAUCGCGAGAUCUUCUGCAGCGAAGCGGCGGGAGAUGUUCGUAGGCCAUGACAUGGAGUUUAUUUCGGCAGUUGUUUUUAAUUCCUCAAUCAUCAUCUAAUCUGGUAAGUAUAUUUGUUCAUUAAGGUGUAAUAACUUGUAAAAUGACAUGUAUGAACUAAUCGUCAAUGUAUUUUUACAAAUCGUCAAUGUGUUUUUACACUAUUAAUAUUUCUAGAUCUGACUGAUUAGACCGUUGCAAUCCAUGUGGUGUUCCCACAUAUAACCCAGUUAUCAGUACUUUAGUUGAUCAUCUGCAAAUCAAAGCUAAAAAAAUCAACAAAACUAGUAACUUAAUCUAGCACAUCUUUUUCUACAAUUCAUUAAAGACGUGCAUUAUUUGUUGCUAAAAGGCGGUUGCUGCUAAUUUUACAUGGAGGAUAUAUGAUAUAUGCCCUCCCUUAUUCAAAUAAUAUCACAAUAUUUCAAUUAAUGUGUAAUUAAGUAAAGUAAUCUGCACCGUUCUAAUAAUGUGAGAGAGAAAUAUGGAUAAAUGGCAAAAUACAGAGCGGGAAAAUGUGUUGUGAGACAUAACGCGCCUUCAUAAUUAAUUUUUCCUGUUCAAGUUAUUUGCGUCAAAACGAAUCACUAUACAGCCAAAUCAGCGUUUACGCGAGAUUGACAAAUGUUAUGUUAUUCCAUGUAAAGCUUUGUAACAUUAAAUGGUAACGUAUGGCAGGCUUUAAAGCCUGUGCGACCGGACGCUCCUUCACGUGAACUGAAAAGUUACUUAGCAGCUGAACCGAGUCCGAUCUAUUUAGACGACAUAGAUGUAAGUGAACGCUCCCAUUGCUGAAAAAACUUUGAUCAUAAUACUUAUUAUAUUAUUUCGUUGCAAGUGACAUGAAUAAACAAACACUAGAAUAGCUUUGUGUGCGAGUGAAACAUGCUUUUCGCAAACGUUACUGCUAAAGUGGUUAAUUAAAACAGCUUGUGUGAUUUGACUACAUCUGCAUGAAUUUUCACAUUAAAGAUCACACAUCAUUUAAAUAACUCCAAGUUGGUAGUCUUCUCAAAAAACACUGGGUGCACUCAAUGGACUGUUUUUUGUAACUGCAGUUGCGGCAUUAUGCCUCGAGAGGCGCUGUUUUGUUAUAAGCACAGUGAGUAAAGUCUACAAAGAGAGGUAGAGAGGGAGUCCAAGGACAACAAAACAAAGUGAAGAAGCCAAAAAGAUCUGAAACAAACUUUCUCCCAGAUCUACCUGCCGGAAAAGACCAGAAAACACUGGAACACGAAAGGGGACUGAUGUGCCAAGAGAUGAAAAAGAAAAAUCCAGACAUGAGUUUUGUGGAUGGAGCCAUGAGCAGCACAUAUGCUCUACGAAGACAGAAAAUCAUUCAUAAAGAGCCUCCAGUGUCUGAAAGGAAGAAGAAAUGGGCUGCUCUUUUUUGUGAAAGACAGAUCAGUGCAGAAUUCAACAGCCUAGUGACACUGGAUCUGAGCAAGUCUUUCCAUGAGGGUAUAGACCGCCAUCUACCAAAGCUGCUGUGUCUGUACCGUUCAAAGUGCUGUAUGGAAUUGUAGAAAUCAGGGCCAUAAUGGACAGCCUAGAUAAAAAUAACACAGAUUCGGAAGAAGUGAUGACCAGAGGCAUGACUCUUGGAAUCCUCACAGUGGUGGAAGAUGUGACAGACCCCCUUCCGUGCAGCUUGUGUGAUGUGGCCCUUUCAAUUGAGGAAGCAGUUGUUCUGAGAAUGCCUAUGUGAACAUGAUGGGGUUGUUGUAUGCUGUCAACAUAAACUACCCAGAAACCUCAGAUACACCUUUGAGGUAAUUCAGAGGCCACUGAUGAACGUCAGCGCUGAAACUUGUACUUCAAGAGUGCACUCCCUUAAAAAUGCAUUGUCUUAUUAAUUUAUUCCAAGAAUCUGUUUAAAUUUUACUCAGAAAUUCUUUAAGUUUUCAAUUGUUUUAAGUUACUUCGAAGUUAAAGUGGUUUUAUAAAUGUGUAAAAUCUUAGUGUUAGUUCACCCAAAAUCAUGUUUUUGUGGACUAACACUUUUCAUGUGUGUUCAAAUAGUUUUUUUACUUUUCAGUAUUUCUAUAUUCUAUGUAUAUAUAUAUAUAUAUAUAUACUGAUAUAUAUAUAUAUAUAUUUAUAUCCCUUACAGAAAAGACACAUGUGAAAUGUGUGUUUUUGGAACAUUUGGGUGUGAAUUCCCAUGUGAAACACAUAUGAUUACAGGUAAAAACCCAUGGGAUGACAUGUGCGACAUGUGGUGAUAUGUCUCCACUUGUGAACACAUGUUCUUCACAUGACAACCUGUUUUUCACAUUUCAUCCCAUGGAUUUUUAAAUGUUAUCAUAUGUGUUUCACUCAGGAAUUCACAUGGGAUUCACACCCAUAUGUUCAAAAAACACACAUUUGACAUGUGUUUUUUUGCACAUGUUAAACACAUGUGGUAAGCAUAUGAUCACAUGUGAAAUUCAUGUGUCUUUUCUGUAAGGAUAUGUGUAUUUAUGCAUGAGUUUUACUCAGAGUUAUUGAAGUGGAGAUGUCAUUUUGUGUAGGAGAUACUUUAAAUGUGAGAUGGUGGUCUAGUGGGUUAAACCACUGAACUGGUAAAUCAAAGGUUGCUGGUUUGAUCCCAACAGCCACCACCAGUGUGUCCUUGAGCAAGACACUUUACUCCAUGUUGUUCCAGGGGGGUUGUCCCUGUAAUAUGUGCACUGUAAGUCGCUUUGGAUAAAAGCGUCUGCAAAAUGACUAAAUGUAAAUGUAAAUGUGACACAUAAUGUUAUAUUUCAUUUUUGUCAUGAGAAUCUACUUUUUGAGUUUUCUCCUUAACGAGUAUUUAUAUGUAAGGGACAAUAAAAUAAUUUAAAU
Molecule: long non-coding RNA, 3072 nt
Organism: Triplophysa dalaica
Lineage: Eukaryota; Metazoa; Chordata; Actinopteri; Cypriniformes; Nemacheilidae
Exons: 3
Source: RefSeq, a predicted model, not a curated record